RNAcentral lists this ribosomal RNA (465 nucleotides) under Vreelandella stevensii. RNAcentral describes it as "partial 16S ribosomal RNA". It matches the Rfam family "Bacterial small subunit ribosomal RNA", at positions 338 to 795 of the family's 1533-position model. Lineage: Bacteria; Pseudomonadati; Pseudomonadota; Gammaproteobacteria; Oceanospirillales; Halomonadaceae. The record is from RNAcentral.
CCUACGGGAGGCUGCAGUGGGGAAUAUUGGACAAUGGGGGGAACCCUGAUCCAACCAUGCCGCGUGUGUGAAGAAGGCCCUCGGGUUGUAAAGCACUUUCAGUGAGGAAGAACGCCUGGUGGUUAAUACCCAUCAGGAAAGACAUCACUCACAGAAGAAGCACCGGCUAACUCCGUGCCAGCAGCCGCGGUAAUACGGAGGGUGCGAGCGUUAAUCGGAAUUACUGGGCGUAAAGCGCGCGUAGGUGGCUUGAUAAGCCGGUUGUGAAAGCCCCGGGCUCAACCUGGGAACGGCAUCCGGAACUGUCAAGCUAGAGUGCAGGAGAGGAAGGUAGAAUUCCCGGUGUAGCGGUGAAAUGCGUAGAGAUCGGGAGGAAUACCAGUGGCGAAGGCGGCCUUCUGGACUGACACUGACACUGAGGUGCGAAAGCGUGGGUAGCAAACAGGAUUAGAUACCCCUGUAGUC